Rosa rugosa (rugosa rose) is the source of this 773-nucleotide long non-coding RNA. RefSeq lists it as uncharacterized. The transcript is spliced from 4 exons. NCBI's taxonomy places the organism in Eukaryota, Viridiplantae, Streptophyta, Magnoliopsida, Rosales, Rosaceae. The record is from RefSeq and is a predicted model, not a curated record.
GACUGAUCUGAAUGACAUAUUUGACACCCUUUUGGAGGCACUUAUCAGAUUGGCUGAAGGAAGCACUUUCACCAUGGACAAAUAAUCAGGAUCCAGGGUAUUUACAAAUAACUUAUUUCAUGAAUGAAGCCUACUCAUUAUGAAGAACAAGGUCAGGGGUGACCUAUUAUUGGGAUAUGGAGAAGGAAGUCAAGAUAAUUCCAUCAAUUCAUAUGCUACUCUGUACUCAUUAGAUAUUUAAAGAUUUUCAUUGUUAUUGCAUUUGACUAUUUGAAUAUGUAUGACUAGAAAAUUGUGUUAUGAAUCAAUGGUUGUUUGUUUUUAAUAAUAAUUCAAUUGCGUAAAUACUUACCAUAUGACAUGAAAGAUGUCACAAAUGAUAUUAGCGAUGAUUAUAAAUAGAUCCUAGUAUGUGUACGAUUUUACUUGCGACAUUUGACGAAUGUGUGAAAUGAAUUAAGAUAAAAUAUGACUUUUUACGACAUAAACACCAAACGUCGUAAAAAGAUGUCAAAUGAAAUAUGACUUUUUACGACGUUAACCAAACGUCGUAAAAAAUGUCAGAUAAAAUAUGACUUUUUACGACACCAACCAAACGUCAUAAAAAUAAUUUUUUGCGACGGAAAAAAAUGUCGCAAUACAAUGUCGUAAAAAAAUUAUGAAAUCCGACACCACUAUUUACGACGGACGCCGAAUGUCGCAAAUCCGUCGCAAUAACUUUUUUGCGACGGGAGACAAACGUCGCAAAAGCCUCUGGAGUAUUUGCUACGCGU